UACGGGGGGGGCAAGCGUUGUUCGGAAUUACUGGGCGUAAAGGGCGCGUAGGCGGCCGAAUAAGUCUGACGUGAAAUCCCUCGGCCUAACCGAGGAACUGCGUUUGAAACUGUUCGGCUCGAGUCCGGGAGAGGGUAGUGGAAUUCCCAGUGUAGCGGUGAAAUGCGUAGAUAUUGGGAGGAACACCGGUGGCGAAGGCGGCUACCUGGACCGGUACUGACGCUGAUGCGCGAAAGCGUGGGGAGCGAACAGG
This 253-nucleotide ribosomal RNA is filed under the name uncultured bacterium. RNAcentral's name for it is "partial 16S ribosomal RNA". It matches the Rfam family "Bacterial small subunit ribosomal RNA", at positions 524 to 776 of the family's 1533-position model. The record is from RNAcentral.